AGAAUCAACGCUGGCGGCGUGCCCAACACAUGCAAGUCGAACGAGAAAGUGGAGCAAUCCAUGAGUACAGUGGCGCACGGGUGAGUAACACGUGACUAACCUACCCUUGAGUUCGGAAUAACUUCGGGAAACCGAGGCUAAUACCGGAUAAUAUCUACGGAUCAAAGGAGCAAUUCGCUUAAGGAGGGGGUCGCGGCAGAUUAGUUAGUUGGCGGGGUAAUGGCCCACCAAGACGAUGAUCUGUAUCCGGCCUGAGAGGGCGCACGGACACACUGGAACUGAAACACGGUCCAGACUCCUACGGGAGGCAGCAGUGGGGAAUUUUGCGCAAUGGGGGAAACCCUGACGCAGCAACGCCGCGUGGAGGAUGAAAUCCCUUGGGAUGUAAACUCCUUUCGAUCGGGACGAUUAUGACGGUACCGGAAGAAGAAGCCCCGGCUAACUUCGUGCCAGCAGCCGC
This 460-nucleotide ribosomal RNA is filed under the name uncultured bacterium. RNAcentral's name for it is "SSU rRNA". It matches the Rfam family "Bacterial small subunit ribosomal RNA", at positions 26 to 518 of the family's 1533-position model. The record is from RNAcentral.